RNAcentral lists this transfer RNA (74 nucleotides) under Planctomycetota bacterium. RNAcentral's name for it is "Planctomycetes bacterium (freshwater metagenome) tRNA-Leu". It matches the Rfam family "tRNA". From Rfam's summary of the family: Transfer RNA (tRNA) molecules are approximately 80 nucleotides in length. Lineage: Bacteria; Pseudomonadati; Planctomycetota. The record is from RNAcentral.
GUCCAAGUGGUGCAAUCGGCAGACACGCGGCGCUUAGAACGCCGAGCCUGGGAGUUCGAAUCUCCCCUUGGUCA